RNAcentral lists this transfer RNA (69 nucleotides) under Actinomycetota bacterium. RNAcentral describes it as "Actinobacteria bacterium (soil metagenome) tRNA-Leu". The record is from RNAcentral. Lineage: Bacteria; Bacillati; Actinomycetota.
CGGCUUCGUUGGCUUGAGCGCUCAGUUCAGGACGAAGAGGCCGCCGGUUCAAAUCCGGCCACCCGACCA